GCCGGGCGUGGUGGCUCACGCCUGUAAUCCUAGCUAUUCAGGAGGCUGAGGCAGGAGAAUCGCUUGAACCUGGGAGGCGGAGGCUGCAGUGAGCUGAGAUCGUGCCACUGCACUCCAACCUGGGCGACAGAGCGAGACUCUGUCUCAA
RNAcentral lists this non-coding RNA (148 nucleotides) under Homo sapiens (human). Lineage: Eukaryota; Metazoa; Chordata; Mammalia; Primates; Hominidae. The record is from Rfam by way of RNAcentral.